UACGGAGGGUGCAAACGUUGCUCGGAAUCAUUGGGCGUAAAGCGCGUGUAGGCGGCAAGGUAUGUCGAGUGUGAAAGCCCUGGGCUUAACCCAGGAAGUGCGCUCGAAACUGCCUAGCUUGAGUACGGGAGAGGGUAGCGGAAUUCCCGGUGUAGAGGUGAAAUUCGUAGAUAUCGGGAGGAACACCAGUGGCGAAGGCGGCUACCUGGACCGAUACUGACGCUGAGACGCGAAAGCGUGGGUAGCAAACAGG
RNAcentral lists this ribosomal RNA (253 nucleotides) under uncultured bacterium. Its description in RNAcentral is "partial 16S ribosomal RNA". It matches the Rfam family "Bacterial small subunit ribosomal RNA", at positions 524 to 776 of the family's 1533-position model. The record is from RNAcentral.